UCUUGGUCAUUUAGAGGAAGUAAAAGUCGUAACAAGGUUUCCGUAGGUGAACCUGCGGAAGGAUCAUWAUUGAAUAAACUUGAACAGGCUGUUUGCUGGCCUCUCUCUCCGGAGGGGGUAUGUGCACGCUUGUCAUCUUUAUCUCUCCACCUGUGCACAUGCUGUAGAUCUGGGAGCCCUUUUGUAUUCUCGAAUAGAUUGAGGAUUGCUGUACUCAAGUGUCAGCUUUGCCUUGCAUUUCCAGAUCUAUGUUUUUUUUUCACAAUCUCUGAAUGUGUCUAGAAUGUUGAAUCGAAUGAUAAAUCAUAUACAACUUUCAGCAACGGAUCUCUUGGCUCUCGCAUCGAUGAAGAACGCAGCGAAAUGCGAUAAGUAAUGUGAAUUGCAGAAUUCAGUGAAUCAUCGAAUCUUUGAACGCAUCUUGCGCUCCUUGGUAUUCCGAGGAGCAUGCCUGUUUGAGUGUCAUUUGAGUUCUCAAACCAUGCUGAUUUUAUUGGCGUGGCUUUGGAUGUGGGGGUUUCUGUUUGCGGGCUUUUGAAGUCGGCUCCCCUGAAAUGCAUUAGUGGUAUCUGAGCAGAGACUACUUACAGGUGUGAUAAAUUAUCUAUCUAUGCCUCGGUAUGCUGCAUGAAACAGAUUGCACUGCUUAUAACGAGUGGAAAUUUGACAAGUUUGACCUCAAAUCAGGUAGGACUACCCGCUGAACUUAAGCAUAUCAAUAAGCGGAGGAAAAGAAACUAACAAGGAUUCCCCUAGUAACUGCGAGUGAAGCGGGAAAAGCUCAAAUUUGAAAUCUGGCGGUUUUUGACCGUCCGAGUUGUAAUCUAGAGAAGUGUUACCUGUGCUGGACCGUGUAAAAGUCUCCUGGAAUGGAGCGUCAUAGAGGNNGAGAAUC
This 895-nucleotide ribosomal RNA is filed under the name Inocybe lanuginosa var. lanuginosa. RNAcentral describes it as "eukaryotic LSU rRNA". The stretch from base 674 to 895 matches the Rfam family "Eukaryotic large subunit ribosomal RNA", at positions 1 to 220 of the family's 3401-position model. Lineage: Eukaryota; Fungi; Basidiomycota; Agaricomycetes; Agaricales; Inocybaceae. The record is from RNAcentral.